This 935-nucleotide ribosomal RNA is filed under the name methanogenic prokaryote enrichment culture B31_3_91. RNAcentral describes it as "bacterial SSU rRNA". It matches the Rfam family "Bacterial small subunit ribosomal RNA", at positions 8 to 916 of the family's 1533-position model. The record is from RNAcentral.
AGAGUUUGAUCCUGGCUCAGAGCGAACGCUGGCGGCGUGCUUAACACAUGCAAGUCGUGCGCGAAAGUCCGAUUUCGAUUGGACGAUUAGAGCGGCGAACGGGUGAGUAACGCGUAGGUAACCUGCCCUUUAGACCGGCAUAACACUCCCAACGGGGUGCUAAUACCGGAUGUUAAUGUUUUAUCUUCGGACAGAAUGUUCAAAGGUGGCCUCUUUACAAUGCUACCGCUAAAGGAUGGGCCUGCGUCCUAUCAGCUUGUUGGUGAGGUAACGGCUCACCAAGGCAAAGACGGGUAGCUGGUCUGAGAGGAUGACCAGUCACACGGGGACUGAGACACGGCCCCGACUCCUACGGGAGGCAGCAGUGGGGAAUAUUGCCCAAUGGCCGAAAGGCUGAGGCAGCGACGCCGCGUGGAGGACGAAAUCCUUCGGGAUGUAAACUCCUUUUACGUGGGAAGAACCAGCGCGAUGCAAAUAGUUUCGCGCUCUGACGGUACCAUUUGAAUAAGCUCCGGCCAACUACGUGCCAGCAGCCGCGGUAAUACGUAGGGAGCGAGCGUUGCUCGGAUUCACUGGGUUUAAAGGACGCGUAGGCGGAUUAGCAAGUCGGGUGUGAAAUCUCUGGGCUUAACCUAGAAAUUGCGCUCGAUACUACUGGUCUCGAGUAGAGCAGAGGGAAACGGAAUUCCUGGUGUAACGGUGGAAUGUGUAGAUAUCAGGAGGAACGCCGAUAGCGAAAGCAGUUUCCUGGGCUCUUACUGACGCUCACGCGUGAAAGCGUGGGGAGCGAACAGGAUUAGAUAUUCUGGUAGUCCACGCUGUAAACGAUGGGUGCUAGUUGUUGGGGGGGGUUUGCCCUCAGCGACGCAGUUAACGCGCUAAGCACCCCACCUGGGGAGUACGGCCGCAAGGUUGAAACUCAAAGGAAUUGACGG